AACGAACGCUGGCGGCAUGCCUAACACAUGCAAGUCGAACGAGACCUUCGGGUCUAGUGGCGCACGGGUGCGUAACGCGUGGGAACCUGCCCUUAGGUUCGGAAUAACUCCCCGAAAGGGGUGCUAAUACCGGAUAAUGUCUUCGGACCAAAGAUUUAUCGCCUUUGGAUGGGCCCGCGUUGGAUUAGCUAGUUGGUAGGGUAAAAGCCUACCAAGGCGACGAUCCAUAGCUGGUCUGAGAGGAUGAUCAGCCACACUGGGACUGAGACACGGCCCAGACUCCUACGGGAGGCAGCAGUGGGGAAUAUUGGACAAUGGGCGAAAGCCUGAUCAAGCAAUGCCGCGUGAGUGAUGAAGGCCUUAGGGUUGUAAAGCUCUUUUACACGGGAUGAUAAUGACAGUACCGGGAGAAUAAGCUCCGGCUAACUCCGUG
Molecule: ribosomal RNA, 433 nt
Filed under: uncultured bacterium
Lineage: Bacteria
Description: partial 16S ribosomal RNA
Rfam family: Bacterial small subunit ribosomal RNA
Source: RNAcentral